GCAAGUCGAACGGUAGACUGCUUUCGGGCAGUUGAGAGUGGCGCACGGGUGCGUAACGCGUAUGCAACCUACCUUGUACAGGGGGAUAGCCCGGAGAAAUCCGGAUUAAUACCCCAUGGCAUUACCAGAUGGCAUCUGAAGGUAAUUAAAGAUUUAUCGGUACAAGAUGGGCAUGCGUGACAUUAGUUAGUUGGUAAGGUAACGGCUUACCAAGACUGUGAUGUCUAGGGGUUCUGAGAGGAUGAUC
Molecule: ribosomal RNA, 247 nt
Filed under: uncultured bacterium
Lineage: Bacteria
Description: partial 16S ribosomal RNA
Rfam family: Bacterial small subunit ribosomal RNA
Source: RNAcentral